ACUCAAAGGAAUUGACGGGGGCCCGCACAAGCGGUGGAGCAUGUGGUUUAAUUCGACGCAACGCGAAGAACCUUACCAGGCCUUGACAUGAUACUGAGUAUGUAAGAGAUUACAUAGACCCUUCGGGGACGGUACCACAGGUGGUGCAUGGUUGUCGUCAGCUCGUGUCGUGAGAUGUUGGGUUAAGUCCCGCAACGAGCGCAACCCUUGUCGUUAGUUGCCAGCAAGCAAGAUGGGCACUCUAAUGAGACUGCCGGUGACAAGCCGGAGGAAGGUGGGGACGACGUCAAAUCAUCAUGCCCUUUAUGGCCUGGGCUACACACGUGCUACAAUGGCCUGUACAGAGGGAAGCGAAGGGGCGACCCGGAGCGAAUCCCAGAAAACAGGUCUCAGUUCGGAUUGCAGGCUGCAACUCGCCUGCAUGAAGUCGGAAUCGCUAGUAAUCGCAGAUCAGCAUGCUGCGGUGAAUACGUUCCCGGGCCUUGUACACACCGCCCGU
Molecule: ribosomal RNA, 499 nt
Filed under: uncultured bacterium
Lineage: Bacteria
Description: bacterial SSU rRNA
Rfam family: Bacterial small subunit ribosomal RNA
Source: RNAcentral